GAUGAACGCUAGCGGCAGGCCUAAUACAUGCAAGUCGAACGGCAAGAUUUGGUAGCAAUACUGAAUCCUAGAGUGGCGCACGGGUGAGUAACGCGUACAUGACAUACCUAUAAGCGAGGGAUAGCAUUGGGAAACUGGUAGUAACCCCUCAUGUGAUUAUUUGUAAUAAAGGUAAAUAAUUAAAACUAACGGUGCUUAUAGAUUGGUGUGCGUCUGAUUAGCUAGUUGGCGAGGUAACGGCUCACCAAGGCGACGAUCAGUAGGGGGCGGUGAGAGCGUGAACCCCACCAC
Molecule: ribosomal RNA, 291 nt
Filed under: uncultured bacterium
Lineage: Bacteria
Description: partial 16S ribosomal RNA
Rfam family: Bacterial small subunit ribosomal RNA
Source: RNAcentral